GGCCGCAGCCCCUGCCCCACCCGCAGCCGCAGCCCCAGCCCCAGCCCCACCUAAGAUGGAGGUUAAAGCAGAACUAGCUGCCCAACCUGUGACCAACGCACCAAAAGAAGAACCAAAGGGUGCUGCCAAAGAAGCAGAGGCCGCCAAGCCGAAAUCUGACCGCCCGUUCAGCAGACUUUUCAGCAGAAAGGCACUGAUAGGCCUCAAGUCUAAAAUCAAGGUUAAGUCAACAAGUGGAGCCAGAGCCCCUGCCAAGCCUGCUGCAGCGAAUGUAGACUUCUCAAAGACGGCCACUCUGGAGGCCUCUGCCACUCUAGAACCACCACCACCUGCACCAGAGGACGAGAAGACACCUGCUGCCUCCAAAGCCUCUCCUUUCACUUCCUUUUCUCUUUUCAAGACCAUGGCAGCUGUGCCGAAAAAGGAAGUCCCUGCCCCAGCUGCAGAAGCGGUAGCUGGCCCAAGUGUAGCCAAGGAUGAACCAAAGGCCCCAGAGGACCCUGCUGUGGACAGCAAGCCCGUGUCAGGGCCCUCCGAGGUUAUGGAGAAUUCCCCCGUCCUCCCUAAGAGACUGGAGAAGAGGAACUCCAUCCACUUGUUCUUCAAAAACCUGGGCAAACGCCAGUCAGAUGCAGGAGUACAAACAGAACCAGAGAAGACCAAAUAAAACGGAAACACCCUUUCAAACUUCACAUGCCAUAUCUGGAAAUGAACUUUUCAUUUGUUAGAUACAUUAUGUUUCUGAUCACACUAUUGAAGGGAUGAUGGUAAGAGCAAGUGGUUUGAGGGAGAGGGGUGGACUGUGGACUGGUCUGUUCUAGUCUAAUCUAAUCUGUGUGGAUGAUUUCAGAGAAUUGUUCUUUGUGGAGGAGGUAAAAUAUAUUUUCUGGUUUAAAGGCUUGAUAGGUAGAGAAAAGUGGUUUUGUUACAUGUACUGAGAGCAAAAUCCAUUUCUAUACAGUAUUUACCCUUCUUUUAACAUGUCACUUAUUCCACGGAGGGCUGAGUGUCUGCGGGUUUUUGCUCCUCCCUUGAUUGAUUAAUUAAGGUCACUAAUUAGUAAAGAACUCCCCUCACCUGGUUGUCUAAGUCUAAAAACAAAACACCCACAGACACUAAGCCCUUCAUGGAAUGUGUUUGACACCACUGCUUUAACAUAUUAAUAUGUGUAAGGAUCUAAUGCAAAUAUUACGUUUAGCAUAUUUUUUUCCCCUCUUCAUAUACACAUUUUACUAGUCUGAAAAGAACUUGUGGAGUGCAUACAAUGGUUUCAGAUACGUUCAUAGGACGUCUUGGAGAAGAGAUGCAUAAAGCUUAGCUUGAGAUAGAAAUUGAAUAUACUCAAAAUUUAAUGGAGGAGUUGGCGAAAUGGUUGAUAUUCCUGCCAAGAUGUUUUUAUUUAGGCUAGACACAUGCAAUUUACAAUGUAAGCUUUAAACUUUGCAGGAACUGUACACGGAUGCAAAUAUAUGCCAAACACUAAAUUACAAUUUAUGAUUAUAAUCAUACACAGGGGGCGCUCCCAAUCAUUACUUUUUUGGGGAACUACACAGAUCUGGUUGUCUAUAUAGCUAACUGCACAGUCAUGCAUCAUAUUUGAUUAAUGUUUCACUGAAGUAUAAAGGUUUGUUCUAAUUUGGGUGCACUGCUUUACGUGUGUGCCUGUUUGAAUGCAGAUGUUAUAAUCUUGGGGAUCUUGUCUGUUAAUUUCUGCAUCUAUAAUUUGAUAAACUGCAUCUGGAAGUAGAAUGUUUAUUGUGACAGCAAAUUCCAAAUCAUGAAAACCUGCAAUGGGGUAUUGGGGGGGGGGGGGAGUUCUACUGAGCUAACAUAUGGAAUUUUUUUAAGAUCAUACCAUGGAUCCUUUAGCUAUUUAAUUUUUCAUUUAGGUAAAAUAUUGAAUUUGGCUUUUAAUGCUAUAGCCUAUAGAAAUGCAAUGAAUAACACAUUCAUAAAUGGCAAAACGGAGAGUACAAAAAGAAAUAAUAUAUAACGUUUUUGAAGUGUCUGUCCUACAUCUAGGAGAUGUAAUAAUGUUCAGGAUUUACACAUAUUUAACCCAUUUUUUGGGGGUGUCACAAAACUACUUCUAUAUAUUUUUUAUUAUGUUAAUUAAAUUGACGCACGGGUGCGUUGAUGGACUUUAGGGGGUAUUUAAAGCUAUUUUCCUGUAACUGUUUAAAGAGAAUAAAUGUGUACAAUUAUU
RNAcentral lists this long non-coding RNA (2206 nucleotides) under Salmo salar (Atlantic salmon). RNAcentral describes it as "lncRNA (ENSSSAG00000093911.1)". Lineage: Eukaryota; Metazoa; Chordata; Actinopteri; Salmoniformes; Salmonidae. The record is from RNAcentral.